Molecule: transfer RNA, 75 nt
Filed under: Klebsiella variicola
Lineage: Bacteria; Pseudomonadati; Pseudomonadota; Gammaproteobacteria; Enterobacterales; Enterobacteriaceae
Description: tRNA-Gly
Rfam family: tRNA
About the family: Transfer RNA (tRNA) molecules are approximately 80 nucleotides in length.
Source: RNAcentral
GCAUCUGUCGUAGUUUGGUAAUUACAUCUGGCUUCCACCCAGAAUAUACGGGUUCGAUCCCCGUUAGAUGCUCCA